AUCUGCCCCUAAGACGAGGAUAACAGUUGGAAACGACUGCUAAGACUGGAUAGGAGACAAGAAGGCAUCUUCUUGUUUUUAAAAGACCUAGCAAUAGGUAUGCUUAGGGAGGAGCUUGCGUCACAUUAGUUAGUUGGUGGGGUAAAGGCCUACCAAGACUAUGAUGUGUAGCCGGGCUGAGAGGUUGAACGGCCACAUUGGGACUGAGACACGGCCCAAACUCCUACGGGAGGCAGCAGUAGGGAAUUUUCGGCAAUGGAGGAAACUCUGACCGAGCAACGCCGCGUGAACGAUGAAGUAUUUCGGUACGUAAAGUUCUUUUAUUAGGGAAGAAUAAAUGAUGGAAAAAUCAUUCUGACGGUACCUAAUGAAUAAGCCCCGGCUAACUAUGUGCCAGCAGCCGCGGUAAUACAUAGGGGGCAAGCGUUAUCCGGAAUUAUUGGGCGUAAAGGGUGCGUAGGCGGUUAAAUAAGUUUAUGGUCUAAGUGCAAUGCUCAACAUUGUGAUGCUAUAAAAACUGUUUAGCUAGAGUAAGAUAGAGGCAAGUGGAAUUCCAUGUGUAGUGGUAAAAUGCGUAAAUAUAUGGAGGAACACCAGUAGCGAAGGCGGCUUGCUGGGUCUUUACUGACGCUGAGGCACGAAAGCGUGGGGAGCAAACAGGAUUAGAUACCCUGGUAGUCCACGCCGUAAACGAUGAGUACUAAACGUUGGGUAAAACCAGUGUUGAAGUUAACACAUUAAGUACUCCGCCUGAGUAGUACGUACGCAAGUAUGAAACUUAAAGGAAUUGACGGGACUCCGCACAAGCGGUGGAUCAUGUUGUUUAAUUCGAAGGUACCCGAAAAACCUCACCAGGUCUUGACAUGCUUCUGCAAAGCUGUAGAAACACAGUGGAGGUUAUCAGUUGCACAGGUGGUGCAUGGUUGUCGUCAGCUCGUGUCGUGAGAUGUUGGGUUAAGUCCCGCAACGAGCGCAACCCUUAUUGUUAGUUACCAGCACGUAAUGGUGGGGACUUUAGCAAGACUGCCAGUGAUAAAUUGGAGGAAGGUGGGGACGACGUCAAAUCAUCAUGCCCCUUAUGACCUGGGCUACAAACGUGAUACAAUGGCUGUUACAAAGGGUAGCUGAAGCGCAAGUUUUUGGCGAAUCUCAAAAAAACAGUCUCAGUUCGGAUUGAAGUCUGCAACUCGACUUCAUGAAGUUGGAAUCGCUAGUAAUCGCGAAUCAGCAUGUCGCGGUGAAUACGUUCUCGGGGUUUGU
This 1260-nucleotide ribosomal RNA is filed under the name 'Phlox drummondii' virescence and leaf yellows phytoplasma. RNAcentral's name for it is "bacterial SSU rRNA". It matches the Rfam family "Bacterial small subunit ribosomal RNA", at positions 124 to 1384 of the family's 1533-position model. Lineage: Bacteria; Bacillati; Mycoplasmatota; Mollicutes; Acholeplasmatales; Acholeplasmataceae. The record is from RNAcentral.